Molecule: ribosomal RNA, 195 nt
Filed under: uncultured bacterium
Lineage: Bacteria
Description: partial 16S ribosomal RNA
Rfam family: Bacterial small subunit ribosomal RNA
Source: RNAcentral
GCAACUCGACUGCAUGAAGCUGGAAUCGCUAGUAAUCGCGAAUCAGCAUGUCGCGGUGAAUACGUUCCCGGGUCUUGUACACACCGCCCGUCACACCAUGGGAGUCGGAAAUGCCCGAAGCCAGUGACCCAACCUUUAAGGAGGGAGCUGUCGAAGGCAGGUCUGGUAACUGGGGUGAAGUCGUAACAAGGUAUC